RNAcentral lists this ribosomal RNA (491 nucleotides) under uncultured bacterium. RNAcentral describes it as "partial 16S ribosomal RNA". It matches the Rfam family "Bacterial small subunit ribosomal RNA", at positions 29 to 507 of the family's 1533-position model. The record is from RNAcentral.
GUGAACGCUGGCGGUAGGCCUAACACAUGCAAGUCGAACGGCAGCACAGUAAGAGCUUGCUCUUACGGGUGGCGAGUGGCGGACGGGUGAGGAAUACAUCGGAAUCUACUUUUUCGUGGGGGAUAACGUAGGGAAACUUACGCUAAUACCGCAUACGACCUACGGGUGAAAGCAGGGGAUCUUCGGACCUUGCGCGAUUGAAUGAGCCGAUGUCGGAUUAGCUAGUUGGCGGGGUAAAGGCCCACCAAGGCGACGAUCCGUAGCUGGUCUGAGAGGAUGAUCAGCCACACUGGAACUGAGACACGGUCCAGACUCCUACGGGAGGCAGCAGUGGGGAAUAUUGGACAAUGGGCGCAAGCCUUAUCCAGCCAUACCGCGUGGGUGAAGAAGGCCUUCGGGUUGUAAAGCCCUUUUGUUGGGAAAGAAAAGCAGCAGGUUAAUACCCCGCUGUUCUGACGGUACCCAAAGAAUAAGCACCGGCUAACUUCGUG